GGGGGAGUGGUGUGGUUACGAAUGUGGCCUCUGCAAGCAGACAGCCUGGGUUCAAUUCCCAGCUUGGCCA
RNAcentral lists this transfer RNA (70 nucleotides) under Homo sapiens (human). RNAcentral's name for it is "tRNA-Ala-TGC-10-1". The record is from RNAcentral. Lineage: Eukaryota; Metazoa; Chordata; Mammalia; Primates; Hominidae.